This 245-nucleotide ribosomal RNA is filed under the name uncultured bacterium. Its description in RNAcentral is "partial 16S ribosomal RNA". It matches the Rfam family "Bacterial small subunit ribosomal RNA", at positions 127 to 353 of the family's 1533-position model. The record is from RNAcentral.
UGCCCUUCAGAGGGGGACGAACAGUUGGAAACGACUGCUAAUACCGCAUACGAUCUAAUCUCGGCAUCGAGGAAAGAUGAAAGGUGGCCUCUAUUUAUAAGCUAUCACUGAAGGAGGGGAUUGCGUCUGAUUAGCUAGUUGGAGGGGUAACGGCCCACCAAGGCGAUGAUCAGUAGCCGGUCUGAGAGGAUGAACGGCCACAUUGGGACUGAGACACGGCCCAGACUCCUACGGGAGGCAGCAUG